GACAGAGGGGGCAAGCGUUGCUCGGAAUUACUGGGCGUAAAGGGCGCGUAGGCGGGCUGGCAAGUCGGUCGUGAAAUCCCUCGGCUCAACUGAGGAGCGUCGAUCGAAACUGCCGUUCUUGAGGGUUGCAGAGGAGACUGGAAUUCCCGGUGUAGCGGUGAAAUGUGUAGAGAUCGGGAGGAACACCGGUGGCGAAGGCGGGUCUCUGGGCCGAUACUGACGCUGAGGAGCGAAAGCGUGGGGAGCGAACAGG
RNAcentral lists this ribosomal RNA (253 nucleotides) under uncultured bacterium. Its description in RNAcentral is "partial 16S ribosomal RNA". It matches the Rfam family "Bacterial small subunit ribosomal RNA", at positions 524 to 776 of the family's 1533-position model. The record is from RNAcentral.